Molecule: non-coding RNA, 94 nt
Organism: Hysterangium stoloniferum
Lineage: Eukaryota; Fungi; Basidiomycota; Agaricomycetes; Hysterangiales; Hysterangiaceae
Source: the annotation of a GenBank genome assembly
GCCUUGCUAGCUCAAUGGUAGAGUGUCAGACUCUUACAGUCCUUCUGACCGGGUAGGAGUCUAGAAGUUGCAGGAUUGACUCCUGUGUGAGGCU